Non-coding RNA from Acyrthosiphon pisum (pea aphid), 2463 nucleotides. The record is from Rfam. Lineage: Eukaryota; Metazoa; Arthropoda; Insecta; Hemiptera; Aphididae.
CGUUCGCGGGCGUACGGACGCCGGUGGGACUCCGCGCUGUACGGCGCGGUAACAACACGCUCGUAACACGGAGGAUGUCUCAUACGGUAAAGCGAAUGAUUAGAGGACAUUGGGGCCGAAACGACCUCAACCUAUUCUCAAACUAUAAAUGAGUGAGAUCGCCGGCUUUACCUGGUACACCGCGUGAACCGCGUGCGAAGCCGGCGACGGAACCCUAGGCGCUUAGUGGGCCAUUUUUGGUAAGCAGAACUGGCGCUGCGGGAUGAACCGAACGCCGAGUUAAGGCGCCGAAAUCGACGCGUAUUCAGAGACCAUGAAAGGCGUUGGUUGCUGAUGACAGCAGGACGGUGGCCAUGGAAGUCGGAAUCCGCUAAGGAGUGUGUAACAACUCACCUGCCGAAGCAACUAGCUCUGAAAAUGGAUGGCGCUGGAGCGUCGUGCCUAUACUCGGCCGUCGACGGCAUAGUGGGGCCAGUCGUCGCUCGCGGCGGCCGGUCCCGGCAAGCCUCGACGAGUAGGAUGGCGCGGCGGUGUGCGUCGAAGGGCAGGUCGCGAGACCGCCUGGAGCCGCCGUCGGUGCAGAUCUUGGUGGUAGUAGCAAAUACUCGAGAGGGGCCCUCGGGGGCUGCCGUGGAGAAGGGUUUCUUGUGAACAGCCGUUGUCCAAGAGUCAGUCGAUCCUAAGCCCGGGGAGAGAUCCUCGUACCACGGGCGAAUGCGUUUUCGAAUCGCCCUUGGGGCGAGAGGGAAUCCGGUUCGUAUUCCGGAACCCGACGCGGAACCGCUCCCUAGUGUUCGGGGCUCUUUUGUCUCGUCUGGGUAACCAGAAUGAACUCGAAGAAGCCGCCGGGGGAUCUGGGUAGAGUUCUCUUUUCUCUGUGAGCGUUGUACGUCCCUGGAAUCCUCUAGCCGGGCGAUAGGGACGCGAGCGCGAGAGCACGCUCGAUGCGGCGUGUCCGUGAUCCUCACGCGACUUGAAAAUCGAGAGAGACCACGCGGAGUCUCGCGUCGGUUCGUACCGAUAUCCGCAGCAGGUCUCCGAGGUGAGCAGCCUCUAGCCGCAUAGAAUAAUGUAGGUAAGGGAAGUCGGCAAAACCGAUCCGUAACUUCGGGAUAAGGAUUGGCUCUGAGGAGCGUGGCUGCCGGGUUCGGGUCGUCGUAGAAGCGUAGGCGUUUUUGGCGACACCCCGGCCGUCGCCCGUGCGCCCGGUCUUCGGAACGGGAGCCUCGAGGCGGCCGCGGGCCCGUCGCCGUCCGCCGACCGUGGAACCACCGAGCUUCGGUCGCUGGCCGCGUCGCGGCCGGCCGACCGCCUUGGUGUCGGUUCGCCGUCACCGGGCGGUCCGGCCGCCGCGCCGUCGGUCGCGUAGCCGGAUCGACAGCCAUGUAACGGUCAACUCAGAACUGGCACGGACCAGGGGAAUCCGACUGUCUAAUUAAAACAAAGCAUCGCGAUGGCCCGGGACGGGUGUUGACGCGAUGUGAUUUCUGCCCAGUGCUCUGAAUGUCAACGUGAAGAAAAUUCAAGCAAGCGCGGGUAAACGGCAGGAGUAACUAUGACUCUUUUAAGGUAGCCAAAAUGCCUCGUCAUCUAAUUAGUGACGCGCAUGAAUGGAUUAACGAGAUUCUCACUGUCCCUAUCUACUAUCUAGCGAAAACCACAGCCAAGGGAACGGGCUUGGAAAAAUCAGCGGGGAAAGAAGACCCUGUUGAGCUUGACUCUAAUCUGGCAUUGUUCGGAGACAUGCCGAGGUGUAGCAUACGUGGGAGACCCGGACCAAGGCGGGCGGUUUCGGCCGUUCGUCUCCGGGCCGACCUUGAAAUACCACUACUCGCAUCGUUUCCCCACUUACUCGGUAGAGCGGAACGCGCGGUUCCGGCCGCGGGCGCGUCCGGCCGGCGGUCGUCGUCCCGUCGCGUCGUCGGUUUGCCGUCGGUUCGCCGGCGCGCUACUGGCGCGCGGCGUGGUCGCCGUGCCGUCGGCCUGUGCCCGUUCGUGCCGGGCCGCGGUUGAUAUUCCGGUAGCGUUAAGCACCAGCCGAGGGAUCCGGGCGUCAAACCGCGGACCGCGUCCGUCCGCGUACGGCCGACCGUCAAAAGUCGCCGUCCGCGUUCGCGGCGUAUCCGCGGGCCCGGUCCCUGGUGCGAUCCGUAUUCCGAGGACACCGCCAGGUGGGGAGUUUGACUGGGGCGGUACAUCUGUCAAAAAAUAACGCAGGUGUCCUAAGGCCAGCUCAGCGAGGACGGAAACCUCGCGUAGAGCAAAAGGGCAAAUGCUGGCUUGAUCCCGGACGCUCAGUACGCGUAGGGACUGCGAAAGCAUCGGCCUCUCGAUCCUCUCGUCCGCUGAAGAGUUUUCAGCGAGAGGUGUCAGAUAAGUUACCACAGGGAUAACUGGCUUGUGGCGGUCAAGCGUUCAUAGCGACGUCGCUUUUUGAUCCUUCGAUGUCGCUCUUCCUAUCAU